GACGAACGCUGGCGGCGUGCUUAACACAUGCAAGUCGAACGGUGAAGCGCCUUCCUUUUUGGUGGGUGUGGAUGAGUGGCGAACGGGUGAGUAACACGUGAGUAACCUGCCCCCUUCUUCUGGAUAACCGCAUGAAAGUGUGGCUAAUACGGGAUAUUCUGGGUCUGUCGCAUGAUGGGUCUGGGAAAGAUAUUGUUUCGGUGGGGGAUGGGCUCGCGGCCUAUCAGCGUGUUGGUGGGGUGAUGGCCUACCAAGGCGGUGACGGGUAGCCGGCCUGAGAGGGUGGACGGGCUGACGGGGACUGAGACACGGCCCAGACUGGUACGAGAGGCAGCAGAGGGGACUAUUGGACAAUGGGGGCGAGCCUGAUGCAGCGACGCCGCGUGAGGGAUGGAGGCCUUCGGGUUGUGAACCUCUUUCGCCAGUGAAGCAGACCUGCCUCGUUUGUGAGUGGGUUGACGGUAGCUGGAUAAGAAGCGCCGGCUAACUACGUG
RNAcentral lists this ribosomal RNA (494 nucleotides) under uncultured bacterium. Its description in RNAcentral is "partial 16S ribosomal RNA". It matches the Rfam family "Bacterial small subunit ribosomal RNA", at positions 28 to 507 of the family's 1533-position model. The record is from RNAcentral.